RNAcentral lists this ribosomal RNA (697 nucleotides) under Citrobacter freundii. Its description in RNAcentral is "bacterial SSU rRNA". It matches the Rfam family "Bacterial small subunit ribosomal RNA", at positions 26 to 718 of the family's 1533-position model. Lineage: Bacteria; Pseudomonadati; Pseudomonadota; Gammaproteobacteria; Enterobacterales; Enterobacteriaceae. The record is from RNAcentral.
GGAGUCGCUGGCGGUAGGCCUAGACAUGCAGUCGGUGCAGGGUAGCCGUAACCUUGCUUUUUGGGUGGGAGUGGGGGACGUUUGAAUAAUGUCUGGAAAACUAACCGAUGGAGGGGGAUAACUACUGGAAACGGUAGCUAAUACCGCAUAACGUCGCAAGACCAAAGAGGGGGACCUUCGGGCCUCUUGCCAUCGGAUGUGCCCAGAUGGGAUUAGCUAGUAGGUGGGGUAACGGCUCACCUAGGCGACGAUCCCUAGCUGGUCUGAGAGGAUGACCAGCCACACUGGAACUGAGACACGGUCCAGACUCCUACGGGAGGCAGCAGUGGGGAAUAUUGCACAAUGGGCGCAAGCCUGAUGCAGCCAUGCCGCGUGUAUGAAGAAGGCCUUCGGGUUGUAAAGUACUUUCAGCGAGGAGGAAGGCGUUGUGGUUAAUAACCGCAGCGAUUGACGUUACUCGCAGAAGAAGCACCGGCUAACUCCGUGCCAGCAGCCGCGGUAAUACGGAGGGUGCAAGCGUUAAUCGGAAUUACUGGGCGUAAAGCGCACGCAGGCGGUCUGUCAAGUCGGAUGUGAAAUCCCCGGGCUCAACCUGGGAACUGCAUCCGAAACUGGCAGGCUAGAGUCUUGUAGAGGGGGGUAGAAUUCCAGGUGUAGCGGUGAAAUGCGUAGAGAUCUGGAGGAAUACCGGUGGCGA